This 460-nucleotide ribosomal RNA is filed under the name uncultured bacterium. Its description in RNAcentral is "partial 16S ribosomal RNA". It matches the Rfam family "Bacterial small subunit ribosomal RNA", at positions 338 to 795 of the family's 1533-position model. The record is from RNAcentral.
CCUACGGGGUGCAGCAGUGAGGAAUAUUGGUCAAUGGCCGAGAGGCUGAACCAGCCAAGUCGCGUGAGGGAAGACGGUCCUAUGGAUUGUAAACCUCUUUUGUCGGGGAGCAAAAGACGCCACGCGUGGCGUUCCGAGAGUACCCGAAGAAAAAGCAUCGGCUAACUCCGUGCCAGCAGCCGCGGUAAUACGGAGGAUGCGAGCGUUAUCCGGAUUUAUUGGGUUUAAAGGGAGCGUAGGUGGAUUGUUAAGUCAGUUGUGAAAGUUUGCGGCUCAACCGUAAAAUUGCAGUUGAAACUGGCAGUCUUGAGUACAGUAGAGGUGGGCGGAAUUCGUGGUGUAGCGGUGAAAUGCUUAGAUAUCACGAAGAACUCCGAUUGCGAAGGCAGCUCACUGGACUGCAACUGACACUGAGGCUCGAAAGUGUGGGUAUCAAACAGGAUUAGAUACCCGGGUAGUC